RNAcentral lists this ribosomal RNA (492 nucleotides) under uncultured bacterium. RNAcentral describes it as "partial 16S ribosomal RNA". It matches the Rfam family "Bacterial small subunit ribosomal RNA", at positions 29 to 507 of the family's 1533-position model. The record is from RNAcentral.
AGUGAACGCUGGCGGUAGGCCUAACACAUGCAAGUCGAACGGCAGCACAGUAAGAGCUUGCUCUUACGGGUGGCGAGUGGCGGACGGGUAAGGAAUACAUCGGAAUCUACUUUUUCGUGGGGGAUAACGUAGGGAAACUUACGCUAAUACCGCAUACGACCUACGGGUGAAAGCAGGGGAUCUUCGGACCUUGCGCGAUUGAAUGAGCCGAUGUCGGAUUAGCUAGUUGGCGGGGUAAAGGCCCACCAAGGCGACAAUCCGUAGCUGGUCUGAGAGGAUGAUCAGCCACACUGGAACUGAGACACGGUCCAGACUCCUACGGGAGGCAGCAGUGGGGAAUAUUGGACAAUGGGCGCAAGCCUGAUCCAGCCAUACCGCGUGGGUGAAGAAGGCCUUCGGGUUGUAAAGCCCUUUUGUUGGGAAAGAAAAGCAGCAGGUUAAUACCCCGCUGUUCUGACGGUACCCAAAGAAUAAGCACCGGCUAACUUCGCG